CUCAGAACGAACGCUGGCGGCAUGCUUAUCACAUGCAAGUCGAACGGGCGCCUUCGGGCGUUAGUGGCGCACGGGUGAGUAACGCGUGGGAACCUGUCAUGAAGUGGGGAACAACCACUGGAAACGGUGGCUAAUACCGCAUACGCCCUGAGGGCAAAGGCUUCGGCCGCUUUGUGAGGGGCCCGCGUCCGAUUAGCUAGUUGGUGGGGUAACGGCCUACCAAGGCUACGAUCGGUAGCUGGUCUGAGAGGAUGAUCAGCCACACUGGGACUGAGACACGGCCCAGACUCCUACGGGAGGCAGCAGUGGGGAAUAUUGGACAAUGGGCGAAAGCCUGAUCCAGCAAUGCCGCGUGAGUGAAGAAGGCCUUAGGGUUGUAAAGCUCUUUCGCCUGCGACGAUGAUGACGGUAGCAGGAGAAGAAGCCCCGGCUAAUUCCGUG
This 441-nucleotide ribosomal RNA is filed under the name uncultured bacterium. RNAcentral describes it as "bacterial SSU rRNA". It matches the Rfam family "Bacterial small subunit ribosomal RNA", at positions 23 to 507 of the family's 1533-position model. The record is from RNAcentral.